This is a long non-coding RNA of Mauremys reevesii (Reeves's turtle), 385 nucleotides long. RefSeq lists it as uncharacterized. The transcript is spliced from 3 exons. NCBI's taxonomy places the organism in Eukaryota, Metazoa, Chordata, Testudines, Geoemydidae. The record is from RefSeq and is a predicted model, not a curated record.
GGUCUGGAGUCUUUACAAGCCAAACCCUGCUCAUUCCACAAAGGAAAAGGAGAGGCAACACCCAAGAAGCUUGUGUGCUGAAGGACUAGUGUUAAGGAGGAAACAGUUUCAGGAGGGGGCAGGAAGAGAGAGAAUCACCUUGGGAAAAAGUAGCACCCAGAGGCUUUGUGCUAGGCGGCAUUGUGCUAGGUAACGUUCACACACCUAGCAAGAGACAGUCCCUGGCCCGGAGAGCAUGCUAUCGAAAUAAAGACCACGAAAGGUGACUUUGGUCUUGGAGGUCAAAAGCAACCAAGUCUGGUCAGCUGCUUUGCUUUGUCUGUUUCCAGUGGACAGAAUUGAAAAGUGGAGACAUGACCUUCAGAGAACACAAUUAUUAUUUUUU